GGGCCCGUAGCUUAGCUAGGUAGAGCGCCCUGGGGCCCAGCCCCGUGCCCCGCGUAAGGCUCAUAACCGGGAGGUCCCGGGUUCAAAUCCCGGCGGGCCCA
RNAcentral lists this transfer RNA (101 nucleotides) under Pyrobaculum arsenaticum DSM 13514. RNAcentral's name for it is "tRNA-OTHER". It matches the Rfam family "tRNA". From Rfam's summary of the family: Transfer RNA (tRNA) molecules are approximately 80 nucleotides in length. Their secondary structure includes four short double-helical elements and three loops (D, anti-codon, and T loops). The record is from RNAcentral. Lineage: Archaea; Thermoproteati; Thermoproteota; Thermoprotei; Thermoproteales; Thermoproteaceae.